This 41-nucleotide ribosomal RNA is filed under the name Diplodia sapinea. RNAcentral describes it as "partial 28S ribosomal RNA". Lineage: Eukaryota; Fungi; Ascomycota; Dothideomycetes; Botryosphaeriales; Botryosphaeriaceae. The record is from RNAcentral.
CUCGGAUCAGGUAGGGAUACCCGCUGAACUUAAGCAUAUAA